Molecule: non-coding RNA, 23 nt
Filed under: Mus musculus (house mouse)
Lineage: Eukaryota; Metazoa; Chordata; Mammalia; Rodentia; Muridae
Source: RNAcentral
UGCCUUUUGGAUGAAAUGAUGCC